RNAcentral lists this ribosomal RNA (445 nucleotides) under uncultured bacterium. RNAcentral describes it as "bacterial SSU rRNA". It matches the Rfam family "Bacterial small subunit ribosomal RNA", at positions 354 to 796 of the family's 1533-position model. The record is from RNAcentral.
GUAAGGAAUAUUGGUCAAUGGGCGAAAGCCUGAACCAGCCAUGCCGCGUGGAGGAUGAAUGCCCUCUGGGUUGUAAACUCCUUUUAUCUGGGAAGAAACCCGCGAUUUCUAUUGCGGUUGACGGUACCAGUUGAAUAAGCACCGGCUAACUCCGUGCCAGCAGCCGCGGUAAUACGGAGGGUGCAAGCGUUAUCCGGAUUCACUGGGUUUAAAGGGUGCGUAGGCGGGCAGGUAAGUCAGUGGUGAAAUCUCCGAGCUUAACUUGGAAACUGCCGUUGAUACUAUUUGUCUUGAAUGUCGUGGAGGUAGGCGGAAUAUGUCAUGUAGCGGUGAAAUGCUUAGAUAUGACAUAGAACACCAAUUGCGAAGGCAGCUUACUACACGAUGAUUGACGCUGAGGCACGAAAGCGUGGGGAUCAAACAGGAUUAGAUACCCUUGUAGUCC